AACGAACGCUGGCGGCAUGCCUAACACAUGCAAGUCGAACGAAGCCUUCGGGCUUAGUGGCGCACGGGUGCGUAACGCGUGGGAAUCUGCCCUUGGGUUCGGAAUAACAGUUAGAAAUGACUGCUAAUACCGAAUGAUGUCUUCGGACCAAAGAUUUAUCGCCCAAGGAUGAGCCCGCGUCGGAUUAGCUAGUUGGUGAGGUAAAUGCUCACCAAGGCGACGAUCCGUAGCUGGUCUGAGAGGAUGAUCAGCCACACUGGGACUGAGACACGGCCCAGACUCCUACGGGAGGCAGCAGUGGGGAAUAUUGGACAAUGGGCGAAAGCCUGAUCCAGCAAUGCCGCGUGAGUGAUGAAGGCCUUAGGGUUGUAAAGCUCUUUUACCCGGGAUGAUAAUGACAGUACCGGGAGAAUAAGACCCCGGCUAACUCCGUGCCAGCAGCCGCGGUAAU
Molecule: ribosomal RNA, 451 nt
Filed under: uncultured bacterium
Lineage: Bacteria
Description: bacterial SSU rRNA
Rfam family: Bacterial small subunit ribosomal RNA
Source: RNAcentral